Molecule: long non-coding RNA, 936 nt
Filed under: Mytilus galloprovincialis (Mediterranean mussel)
Lineage: Eukaryota; Metazoa; Mollusca; Bivalvia; Mytilida; Mytilidae
Source: RNAcentral
AAAUUUUGCGGUCGUAGAUUGGUAUCACGUCGUCGUCAGCGUCGUCCGAAGACGGAUGGUUUCCGGAUAAUAACUUUAGUAUAAGUAAAUAGAAAUCAAUUAAAUUUUAACACAAUGUUUAUAACCACAAAAGGAAGGUUGGGAUUGAUUUUGGGGGUUAUGGUCCCAUCGGUUUAGGAAUUAGGGGCCCAAAGGGGCCAAAACAUACAUUUAUCUAGUUUCAGGACAAUAAGUUGUGUAUGAGUAUUUCAAUUACUCUGAAAUUGUACCACAAUGUUCAUACCAUUAAGUUGAAGGUUGGGAUUUAUUUUAAGGGUUAUGGGGCAAACAGUCUAGGAAUUAAGGGCAAAAAAGGGGCCAAAAACAAGCAUUUUUGAAGUUUCGGGACAAUAACUUAUGUUUAACUGUAUGGAUCUCUCUGACAUUGUACCACAAGGUUCCAUAUAAUAAAGGGAAGGCUUGGUGUCAGUUUAGGGUUAUUAUCCCUGAAUAUUUGGGAAUAAAGGGCCCAAAAAAAAACAUUUUUCUAGUUUACAGGUAUGGAUCUCUCUGAAAAUAAUUACAAGGUUUCUUACUACAAAGUAAAGGCUGGAAUUGAGUUUUUGGGGUUCUUGCUCCAAGGAGGGUUUCAACACGUGAGGGGCCAAAAAAGGGGCCCAAAUAAGCAUUUUUGUAGUUUUCAGUCAAUAACUUGUGUUUAAGUGUAUAAAUCUCUCUGAAAUUAUACCACAAGUUUCCAUACUACAACGGGAUGGUUAUAGGGGGUAAUGGAUCAAAUCGUUAAGCAAUUAGGGGCAAAAAAGGGGGGGACAAGGGUUUUUCUGGAUAAAGGACAAUUAAUACCAUUUAAAAGCAGUGUAAGGGAGGUAAUUCAAUUCCAAUUAAAAUUUAAAGAAUACUGUUAUAUAUAUGUUUGAAUACUUGAUUACCUCCCUG